UUCGCUAGGUGGGAGGUUCUUAAAAGCUUAAAGUUUUGCCUAUAUUAUAAAAACUCCUUUUGAUUUGUCAGCACUGGCUCGCGGUCUGGCACCUGCAAACGGCAACAAAUCAAAAG
Molecule: small RNA, 116 nt
Filed under: uncultured Bilophila sp.
Lineage: Bacteria; Pseudomonadati; Thermodesulfobacteriota; Desulfovibrionia; Desulfovibrionales; Desulfovibrionaceae
Description: STnc490 Hfq binding RNA
Rfam family: STnc490 Hfq binding RNA
Source: RNAcentral